AAUAUUUUUUUCAUGGUUAUACUUCAGCGAAAGAAGGAAUGGAGGAGGAAUAAAGUUGAAAGACACAAAUUGCAGGCUCUUAAUCAUCGUUAAAAAAUGGUGAUGUUUCUUGGUACCUUUUGUUUUCAUUUUUUGACCCGCUUGAUCUUUAUGGAUCAUAGAGGUAAAGUAAGUGCUGGAAGAGACACUUAAGGCCAUGAAACCACAUCAAUUGCCACACCAACUUCAUUUUUUUUUAUUAUUUUUACUAUUUAUUCGAUUUAAUAAAAAUUUUCAGGAGGUUUCAAAAUGUGAUGUGGAUCUGCAUAGGAUCCAUUUUUUCUUCUUUGUACGAGUGGAAGCACAGGAAAGCCUAAGGUUGUUCUACAUACUACAACUACAGGGGAGACAUGGUAUACACUACAUCAACAUUCAAAUAUUCAUUUUACUACAAACCAUCUUAUAUACCGAUAUAGAUCUCAGUGAGAUUCUCAAUUGUAUGUUUCAAAUGCCUGCGUCGUAACUAUACUGAAGAGCAAUUGGAAAUUGAUGGUUAUGUGUUGAAAACCCCUCGACUUUCAAAAGCCCUGACAUCCUCUUUGCUAAUGGAAUGGAUUUUUUCACUUCAGUGAAUGAAAAUGGGCAUGGGCUGUUUUUUUAUCAUUGGUAUGUAUUGCAACAAGAAUACGUGUUGAUUGCUUGUGUAGUUUUGGCAUGUCAUUAUAUUGCUAAUAUAGUCAGCUCAUAUUUGAUAUGAUUUAUAUUCCUUAAGGUUAUCGUUUUAAGCAAUAGUUGUGGAUGUUGUUAGCACCUUCACAAACCUUCUCAUGAGAAUCGGUUAGA
Molecule: long non-coding RNA, 822 nt
Organism: Helianthus annuus (common sunflower)
Lineage: Eukaryota; Viridiplantae; Streptophyta; Magnoliopsida; Asterales; Asteraceae
Exons: 3
Source: RefSeq, a predicted model, not a curated record